UACAGAGGGUGCGAGCGUUGUCCGGAAUCACUGGGCGUAAAGGGCGCGUAGGCGGUGACUUAAGCGUGUGGUGAAAGCUCGGGGCUCAACCCCGAGUCGGCCGUGCGAACUGGGUCACUGGAGCAUGUCAGAGGCAGGCGGAAUUCCGGGUGUAGCGGUGGAAUGCGUAGAGAUCUGGAGGAACACCGGUGGCGAAGGCGGCAUCCUGGACCAACACUGACGCUGAGGAGCGAAAGCCAGGGGAGCAAACGGG
This 253-nucleotide ribosomal RNA is filed under the name uncultured bacterium. RNAcentral's name for it is "partial 16S ribosomal RNA". It matches the Rfam family "Bacterial small subunit ribosomal RNA", at positions 524 to 776 of the family's 1533-position model. The record is from RNAcentral.